This 292-nucleotide ribosomal RNA is filed under the name uncultured bacterium. RNAcentral's name for it is "partial 16S ribosomal RNA". RNAcentral also lists the same sequence under 2 other names. The record is from RNAcentral.
GGACUACCGGGGUAUCUAAUCCCGUUUGCUCCCCUGGCUUUCGCGCCUCAGCGUCAGAAAAGGUCCAGCACGCUGCUUUCGCCAUCGGUGUUCCUUCCGAUAUCUACGCAUUUCACCGCUCCACCGGAAGUUCCGCAUGCCCCUACCUCCCUCCAGACCGCCAGUAUCGAAGGCCAUUGUCCGGUUGAGCCGAACGAUUUCACCACCGACUUGACAGCCCGCCUACGCGCCCUUUAAACCCAGUGAUUCCGAACAACGUUCGCACGGUUCGUCUUACCGCGGCUGCUGGCAC